ACAGCGACAACACGGGUGAUUAUACAGCGCAGAUACUUCGACUUGGUGCCACAGAGAAAGAAGCUCGCGAAUCGCCGAAAAGAAUCCCGAUCCCUAAAAUGAUGGUUCAUCAAAACUUGGACGAUGACGAAGCUGUGGCCAAGAAGGCCACUGCAGCAAGAAACAAAAGAACAGCUUUCAACCGGGCUGCAGCAAAGAAAGACCGGUACGAGCAGAGUCUGAAAAAACAGAUGAGCCACGCUCUCUGAAAAAACUCGGAACAAACUGUGAGCAUAUACUA
Molecule: long non-coding RNA, 280 nt
Organism: Rhipicephalus sanguineus (brown dog tick)
Lineage: Eukaryota; Metazoa; Arthropoda; Arachnida; Ixodida; Ixodidae
Exons: 3
Source: RefSeq, a predicted model, not a curated record